RNAcentral lists this ribosomal RNA (454 nucleotides) under uncultured bacterium. Its description in RNAcentral is "partial 16S ribosomal RNA". It matches the Rfam family "Bacterial small subunit ribosomal RNA", at positions 28 to 507 of the family's 1533-position model. The record is from RNAcentral.
GAUGAACGCUGACAGAAUGCUUAACACAUGCAAGUCAACUGGAACUUCGGUUUGGGUGGCGGACGGGUGAGUAACGCGUAAAGAACUUGCCUCACAGAUAGGGACAACAUUUGGAAACGAAUGCUAAUACCGGAUAUUAUGAUUAUAUGGCAUCGUAUAAUUAUGAAAGCUAUAUGCGCUGUGAGAGAGCUUUGCGUCCGAUUAGCUAGUUGGAGAGGUAACGGCCCACCAAGGCGAGGAUGGGUAGCCGGCCUGAGAGGGUGAUCGGCCACAAGGAGACUGAGAGACAGCCCUUACUCCUUCGGGCGGCAGCAGGGAGGAAUGUUGGACAAUGGACCAAGAGUCUGAUCAAGCAAUUCUGUGUGCACGAUGAAGUUUUUCGGAAUGUAAAGUGCUUUCAGUUGGGAAGAAAAAAAUGACGGUACCAACAGAAGAAGUGACGGCUAACUACGUG